GUGAGAAUUAGAUAUCGCUUGAUAUCAACUCGAGUUAUUUAAUUUCAAUAAUAAUAAAUGAGCCAUAGACCGUUUAUUAUUAUUGAAAUUAAAUAACUCGAGUUGAUAUCAAUCGAUAUGUAAUUCUCA
Molecule: small RNA, 129 nt
Filed under: Mytilus galloprovincialis (Mediterranean mussel)
Lineage: Eukaryota; Metazoa; Mollusca; Bivalvia; Mytilida; Mytilidae
Source: RNAcentral